Molecule: non-coding RNA, 28 nt
Filed under: Chania multitudinisentens RB-25
Lineage: Bacteria; Pseudomonadati; Pseudomonadota; Gammaproteobacteria; Enterobacterales; Yersiniaceae
Source: RNAcentral
GUCCACUGCCGUACAGGUAGCUUAGAAA